CUUCGGGAUAAGCCUUGGAAACGGGGUCUAAUACCGGAUAUGAGCCUGCAUCGCAUGGUGUGGGUUGGAAAGUUUUUCGGUGGGGGAUGGGCUCGCGGCCUAUCAGCUUGUUGGUGGGGUGAUGGCCUACCAAGGCGUCGACGGGUAGCCGGCCUGAGAGGGCGACCGGCCACACUGGGACUGAGACACGGCCCAGACUCCUACGGGAGGCAGCAGUGGGGAAUAUUGCACAAUGGGCGAAAGCCUGAUGCAGCGACGCCGCGUGAGGGAUGACGGCCUUCGGGUUGUAAACCUCUUUCAGCAGGGAAGAAGCGCAAGUGACGGUACCUGCAGAAGAAGCGCCGGCUAACUACGUGCCAGCAGCCGCGGUAAUACGUAGGGCGCAAGCGUUGUCCGGAAUUAUUGGGCGUAAAGAGCUCGUAGGCGGUCUGUCGCGUCUGGUGUGAAAUCCCGAGGCUCAACCUCGGGCUUGCAUCGGGUACGGGCAGACUAGAGUGCGGUAGGGGAGACUGGAAUUCCUGGUGUAGCGGUGGAAUGCGCAGAUAUCAGGAGGAACACCGAUGGCGAAGGCAGGUCUCUGGGCCGCAACUGACGCUGAGGAGCGAAAGCAUGGGGAGCGAACAGGAUUAGAUACCCUGGUAGUCCAUGCCGUAAACGUUGGGCACUAGGUGUGGGGCUCAUUCCACGAGUUCCGUGCCGCAGCUA
Molecule: ribosomal RNA, 705 nt
Filed under: Isoptericola sp.
Lineage: Bacteria; Bacillati; Actinomycetota; Actinomycetes; Micrococcales; Promicromonosporaceae
Description: bacterial SSU rRNA
Rfam family: Bacterial small subunit ribosomal RNA
Source: RNAcentral